RNAcentral lists this ribosomal RNA (224 nucleotides) under uncultured bacterium. Its description in RNAcentral is "partial 16S ribosomal RNA". It matches the Rfam family "Bacterial small subunit ribosomal RNA", at positions 524 to 743 of the family's 1533-position model. The record is from RNAcentral.
UACGGAGGGUGCGAGCGUUGUCCGGAAUCACUGGGCGUAAAGGGCGCGUAGGCGGCCUGGCAAGUCGGUGGUGAAAGCUCGGAGCUCAACUCCGAGUCGGCCAUCGAUACUGCUAUGGCUCGAGUCGACUAGAGGCAGAUGGAAUUCCGGGUGUAGCGGUGGAAUGCGGUAGAGAAUCCGGAAGAACACCGGUGGGCGAAGGCGGCUACCUGGACAGAGUCUGA